GAUGAAGAACGUAGCGAAAUGCGAUAAGUAGUGUGAAUUGCAGAAUUCAGUGAAUCAUCGAAUCUUUGAACGCACAUUGCGCCCCUUGGUAUUCCAUGGGGCAUGCCUGUUCGAGCGUCAUUUGUACCUUCAAGCUCUGCUUGGUGUUGGGUGUUUGUCUCGCCUCUGCGUGUAGACUCGCCUCAAAACAAUUGGCAGCCGGCGUAUUGAUUUCGGAGCGCAGUACAUCUCGCGCUUUGCACUCAUAACGACGACGUCCAAAAGUACAUUUUUACACUCUUGACCUCGGAUCAGGUAGGGAUACCCGCUGAACUUAAGCAUAUCAAUACGCGGAGGA
RNAcentral lists this unclassified non-coding RNA (337 nucleotides) under soil metagenome. RNAcentral describes it as "partial contains 5.8S ribosomal RNA, internal transcribed spacer 2, and large subunit ribosomal RNA". The stretch from base 1 to 120 matches the Rfam family "5.8S ribosomal RNA", at positions 35 to 154 of the family's 154-position model. The record is from RNAcentral.